Molecule: long non-coding RNA, 1497 nt
Filed under: Equus caballus (horse)
Lineage: Eukaryota; Metazoa; Chordata; Mammalia; Perissodactyla; Equidae
Description: lncRNA (ENSECAG00000059903.1)
Source: RNAcentral
UGCCGAGGAUGGGGAUGCAGCAGAUGCCUGGUACCCAGGACUACAGCAUCUAAAUGCUUUUGAACGUGAACCUCACUCCUUAGCUCUCCCCUUCGUGGUGUUUCAGCAGGACUAUUGCGCCAGCAUUCGCACUCGGCUCAGCUCCCUGCCCCCAGCCCUCCCCCCUUGGAAGUGCCUCCCCCUGCAGCCAGAGGGACGUUCUGAAGCUCCAGUGGGGCCUUCACUUGCCUGCAUCAGACUCUUCUGUGGCUCUCCAGUACCCAGAGCAGGUUCUCAGCCCUGACUACACGACAGAAUCCCCUGGAAGCUGCAAAAAUACAUCAGUUCUCAAGCUUCACCCAGACCAAAUGAAUCAGAAUGCAGGGAACAGGCACUGAUCAUUUUUAAAAGCUCCUAGGGGAAACGAUGCCUUCCCGUUGGAGACAUUUGGCUGAUUCACCUUGACCAAGUUAUUAAACCCAGCACCACCCACAGCGGGACCCGCUCACGUCAUCUACUCCUGAUGUGAUGUGAAGAGCCCUCUGACCUCCUGCUCCAAACUGUACUGCUGUUCUCUGGGCAUGAUGCGCAGCUGGGCAUCCUCUUCAAUCCUCAGCUCGACUGGACCUCACUGCCUGCAUCCCAUGCAUUAUCCUUUCUUGGUUCAUUCCUUCAUUGUGAUGGAGCUUUUCCUCCAAAAGCUUUCUCAGAAAAGAUGCAGAGGAGGCAAAUGUUCUGAGAUUUUGUGUGUCUGAAAAUGUCUUUAUUCCAUCCUCACACUUGACUGGAAGUUUUUGGGAUUUUCUCUUUAUCUUGGGAUUGUACCACUUUAGGCCUUCUUGCAUCAUUGGACUGGGCAUCAUGUCCUCCAGUUCCGGGAACUUUUCUUAUAUUAUUUCUUAUAUUUUCUUAUGUUUCUUGUAUCAUUCCUUUGGUAAUAUCCUCCAUACUCCUUUCUCUGAUUUCUCUUCCUAGAACUCCUACUGGAUCUUCUGAAAUGAGCUUUUAAUUUUUAAAAAUCUCUUCUUUCCUGUUUUCUACCUUUGCCUUUUUCCUCCUACUUCCUGGAGAUUUCCCCAAAUUUCUCAUCGAACCCUGUUAUUAAAUUUCUUAUUUUAGCCAUCAUUUCUAAUUUCCAAGAAUAUUUUAUGAUCUCUGGCUCUUCCUUCUUUACAGGUUAUAUUUGUGUCUCAUGGAUGCAGUACCAUCUCAUCUUUCUGAGGAUAUUAUAGUUUAUGUUGUCGUUUUCUUUAUCUCUGGGUAUUAUAUCUGCUUCUUCUGGUGGCUUUUUUCUGACUGUUUGUUUUGAUCUCUAUUUUUUGUGUUGGAGACUUUCUUCAAAUAUUUGAUGGAACUUGACUGUGCCUCUGUGUCCAAAUGCUCCAGGAAAUUCUGGGGACGAGGAGACUGGUGAGCUUCCUUGUGGGGUGAUCAGGUGGUCCGUGGUGUUUUCAUUUAGGACCCUCUGCCUUCAGAUGCGUAGACUGGGGCUUUCUUCUCUCUGCUAAGUCGUUUAUC